RNAcentral lists this ribosomal RNA (461 nucleotides) under uncultured organism. RNAcentral describes it as "bacterial SSU rRNA". It matches the Rfam family "Bacterial small subunit ribosomal RNA", at positions 29 to 507 of the family's 1533-position model. The record is from RNAcentral.
AACGAACGCUGGCGGCGCGCUUAACACAUGCAAGUCGAGCGGUCUGGGGGCAACUCCAGGCAGCGGCGGACGGGUGCGUAACACGUGGAUAAUCUGCCCUAGAGACGGGGAUAACCAGCCGAAAGGUUGGCUAAUACCCGGUAAGCUCACGGACCCGAAGGGGUCAGGGAGAAAAGUCGCAAGACGCUCUAGGAUGAGUCCGCGGCCCAUCAGGUAGUUGGCGGGGUAAAGGCCCACCAAGCCUACGACGGGUAGCUGGUCUGAGAGGACGACCAGCCACACUGGAACUGAGACACGGUCCAGACUCCUACGGGAGGCAGCAGUGGGGAAUCUUGCGCAAUGGGCGAAAGCCUGACGCAGCGACGCCGCGUGUGCGAUGAAGGUCUUCGGAUCGUAAAGCACUGUCGCCCGGGAAAAAGAAAGUGAUGGUACCGGGAAAGGAAGCACCGGCUAACUCUGUG